UACGGGAGGCAGCAGUAGGGAAUAUUGGACAAUGGGCGAAAGCCUGAUCCAGCAAUGCCGCGUGAGUGAUGAAGGCCUUAGGGUUGUAAAGCUCUUUUACCCGGGAUGAUAAUGACAGUACCGGGAGAAUAAGCUCCGGCUAACUCCGUGCCAGCAGCCGCGGUAAUACGGAGGGAGCUAGCGUUGUUCGGAAUUACUGGGCGUAAAGCGCACGUAGGCGGCUAUUCAAGUCAGAGGUGAAAGCCCGGGGCUCAACCCCGGAACUGCCUUUGAAACUGAUAGCUUGAAUCCAGGAGAGGUGAGUGGAAUUCCGAGUGUAGAGGUGAAAUUCGUAGAUAUUCGGAAGACACCAGUGGCGAAGGCGGCUCACUGGACUGGUAUUGACGCUGAGGGUGCGAAAGCGUGGGGAGCAAAC
This 415-nucleotide ribosomal RNA is filed under the name uncultured bacterium. RNAcentral describes it as "bacterial SSU rRNA". It matches the Rfam family "Bacterial small subunit ribosomal RNA", at positions 340 to 773 of the family's 1533-position model. The record is from RNAcentral.